Molecule: long non-coding RNA, 1131 nt
Organism: Alligator sinensis (Chinese alligator)
Lineage: Eukaryota; Metazoa; Chordata; Crocodylia; Alligatoridae
Exons: 3
Source: RefSeq, a predicted model, not a curated record
CAUCUUGGGAAACAGAACCAAGCUGAGGCUGCCAGAGUGAGCUCAAUCAGGCUCUGAAUGUAUAAGCCAUAUAUUGCAGAACUCAAAGGGGUUACCCACCCUGCAGGUGAAAGGACAUGGAACCAUGCCAUAGGAGACUUUCCAAAAGCCCCUGGAAAUAAUAAAGCCAAGAGGAGGGAAUGAAGAACAGAGAUGCAGCUAUGUGCGCUACAGCAAUCACCCAAUCUGGGCUAUAUUACCUCAAGACAGCAAAUGCAGUCCCAACACAUGACCUGUAUUGCAGGAAGCCAUCAGUUCUCUUGUUCUCUGGGAUUUGCAGAGCAAGCUAUGCCCAAACAAAGCAUCAGUGCAUCCUUCAAGCAAGGUUAUCCCAGGAAGCCUUUGGUCCCAAGCUUCCUGUUUUGCCAUGCCUGCGGGAGGCUGCGUGCUGGCUGGAAUGGUGGGUUCUCCUUCCACUGACCAUGACUUUGAGGCAGACCGAUCAAACUUCCCAUCUGCAAAAAAGCAAAGAUGAACACUUACCUCUCUACCAGGGUUUGCAAAGCGCAAUGCAAGGUGACUUGCAGAGGAAGAAAGCUGGCUGUAGACCCCAGCUUGAAAACCUAUGAAUUAAAUCGCUGCUAAUAAAUGUUCCAAUGCUCUGAGUAAGACCAUUCAUCAUUUUCACUUCCUUAGUAUGGCCAAACAGGCACUAGAAACUGCAAAAUAGAGACAGGCUCCACAGUCCCAGGUGCAAGGACAGAGCUGCAGGAAAAGACAGUAAACUUUUUGGGGCAGGUACUACUUCAUAUACAUGAGACAAAAGAGGAACAGAAGCCCGGACAGCAGAAGUGACUCACGCAUGGUCCCUGAGUUGGUCAGUGCCAAAACUAGGAAGAGAAGCCAGAUGCCAGCUCCUUCAGCUGGACUAGCCCGUCUCCUGGGGCACCUUCCAAAAUGGAGGGGACUGGGAUUUCUAGGCAAGUAGAGGAGAGAAUUGCAAUUUGCUGGGGGAGGAGAAUGCAUGGCCUCUUGGGCAGGCCACAUGCACACUGCAUAAAGAAGCGAGAAGCAGAGCAAAAACCCCAUUUCCCUUUUUUCUUUAUUAACAUUAAAAUGACCAAUAAGGAUACAGAGAAUUAUGGAGCAGAG